ACGGAAGGCAGCAGUGAGGAAUAUUGGUCAAUGGACGAGAGUCUGAACCAGCCAAGUCGCGUGAAGGAAGACGGUUCUAUGGAUUGUAAACUUCUUUUGUCCGAGGGUAAAGUGAGAGAUGCGUCUCUUAUUGCAAGUAUCGGACGAAUAAGCAUCGGCUAACUCCGUGCCAGCAGCCGCGGUAAUACGGAGGAUGCGAGCGUUAUCCGGAUUUAUUGGGUUUAAAGGGUGCGUAGGCGGAUGAUUAAGUCUGUGGUGAAAGCGUGCGGCUCAACCGUACCGAGCCAUGGAAACUGGUUGUCUUGAGUGUAAACGAGGUAGGCGGAAUGUGACAUGUAGCGGUGAAAUGCUUAGAUAUGUCACAGAACUCCGAUUGCGAAGGCAGCUUACCAGCAUACAACUGACGCUGAGGCACGAAAGCGUGGGUAUCGAACAGGAUUAGAUACCCUGGUA
Molecule: ribosomal RNA, 453 nt
Filed under: uncultured Porphyromonadaceae bacterium
Lineage: Bacteria; Pseudomonadati; Bacteroidota; Bacteroidia; Bacteroidales; Porphyromonadaceae
Description: partial 16S ribosomal RNA
Rfam family: Bacterial small subunit ribosomal RNA
Source: RNAcentral